RNAcentral lists this long non-coding RNA (690 nucleotides) under Monodelphis domestica (gray short-tailed opossum). RNAcentral describes it as "lncRNA (ENSMODG00000040562.1)". Lineage: Eukaryota; Metazoa; Chordata; Mammalia; Didelphimorphia; Didelphidae. The record is from RNAcentral.
GGCGUAGACUGGGACAGCCUAAGAAAGCCUCAGGGAGAGGAUGUCGGAGAAAUAAAUGGAAGGAAAGGGGAAACCAUUUCAGACCCAGAGACCUAGUGAGCAAAAACAGAGCUCAUGUGACCUGGUGGCUCAUUAAGGUUCCAUGACUGCGUGUGAAUCAUCCAACUUGAAAUGAUUCCAGGAACCAUGAGUUUGAGAACUUUCUCUUCGGGCAGAAAGCAGGUGUGAAAGAUGGAACCCUGGCAUGCCUUUGGGAUGGGAUUUCUGCAGAUGUGCUCCAAGGAGCUGGCCCUAUUCGGCAAGGUGUCUUUGGGGCUCCCUGGAUUUUCUGCGGCUGUCACCCAUGCCUGGAAUGAUCUCCCCCCUCACCCACUGGCUUCCCUAUCCCUUCUCAUUGCCAGGUGCAGAGUGUGUCCAGCACAUCCCUCCCAGGCAAAGUACAGCCUCUCCAGCUCUGGCUGCAUCUCGGUGCAGAGCAACAUGGGUGUGAAGGGGGCACAAGGGCUCUCGCCUCUCCCACAGGACUCUGAACACACGCUCUAGACACAUUCUCUCCUUCUUGUCCUUACGCCAGCAUGUUGGGGUUCCCCAAGAAGGUGAAUCUUCAAGUGGGGAUGCUCCCGUUCUGUAAAAUGGGAACAAUAAUAGCAUCUACUAAGAGUUGUUGUCAAAGUCAAAUAAAGUAAUCAU